This 75-nucleotide transfer RNA is filed under the name Gloeobacter violaceus SpSt-379. Its description in RNAcentral is "tRNA-Met". It matches the Rfam family "tRNA". Rfam says of the family: Transfer RNA (tRNA) molecules are approximately 80 nucleotides in length. Their secondary structure includes four short double-helical elements and three loops (D, anti-codon, and T loops). The record is from RNAcentral. Lineage: Bacteria; Bacillati; Cyanobacteriota; Cyanophyceae; Gloeobacterales; Gloeobacteraceae.
GGGAGAGUCGCCUAAUGAUAGGGCAGAAGCUUCAUAAGCUUCCCUGCGCAGGUUUGAUUCCUGCCUCUCCCACCA